This 301-nucleotide ribosomal RNA is filed under the name uncultured bacterium. RNAcentral describes it as "partial 16S ribosomal RNA". It matches the Rfam family "Bacterial small subunit ribosomal RNA", at positions 509 to 808 of the family's 1533-position model. The record is from RNAcentral.
CAGUAGCCGCGGUAAUACGUAGGUCCCGAGCGUUGUCCGGAUUUAUUGGGCGUAAAGCGAGCGCAGGCGGUUAGAUAAGUCUGAAGUUAAAGGCUGUGGCUUAACCAUAGUACGCUUUGGAAACUGUUUAACUUGAGUGCAAGAGGGGAGAGUGGAAUUCCGUGUGUAGCGGUGAAAUGCGUAGAUAUAUGGAGGAACACCGGUGGCGAAAGCGGCUCUCUGGCUUGUAACUGACGCUGAGGCUCGAAAGCGUGGGGAGCAAACAGGAUUAGAUACCCCCGUAGUCCCUGUCUCUUAUACA